Molecule: ribosomal RNA, 209 nt
Filed under: Enterobacter hormaechei
Lineage: Bacteria; Pseudomonadati; Pseudomonadota; Gammaproteobacteria; Enterobacterales; Enterobacteriaceae
Description: partial 23S ribosomal RNA
Rfam family: Bacterial large subunit ribosomal RNA
Source: RNAcentral
AUGUGUAGGAUAGGUGGGAGGCUUUGAAGCGUGGACGCCAGUCUGCGUGGAGCCAACCUUGAAAUACCACCCUUUAAUGGCUGGUGUUCUAACGUAGACCCGUUACCCGGGUUGCGGACAGUGUCUGGUGGGUAGUUUGACUGGGGCGGUCUCCUCCCAAAGAGUAACGGAGGAGCACGAAGGUUGGCUAAUCCUGGUCGGACAUCAGG